AACCGCCCGGUGCGGACCCCCAUGCCGGGUGGUGUGGGAGGGGCGGAGCCAAUAGGCUCCCCCCUAUCCCGAU
RNAcentral lists this non-coding RNA (73 nucleotides) under Neorhizobium sp. R1-B. The record is from RNAcentral. RNAcentral also lists the same sequence under 1 other name. Lineage: Bacteria; Pseudomonadati; Pseudomonadota; Alphaproteobacteria; Hyphomicrobiales; Rhizobiaceae.